UGUAUUGUUUCCAGCAAGUUGGCGGUAGUGUCGUCAUAAGUCUUUCCUAUUGAGCUGAUUACUGAUCUCUGCAGCCUUGCGAUUGUGGCGGUUUCCUGUUCUCGAGGCUCUUUGCUUCGACGGGUUUGAAACUACACCUGAAGAGAGCGGGACCAAGCUGCCAUUUCCUGCACCUCUUAUCGUCAUUUGCCGAAUUAUACUUCCUUGACAAUUGUUACCCUGCUUUUCUUUUGUGGAGUUGUGGGAAUCUAGAGUUAUAAUUUUUAGUUGUUGUGGCACUAUUCAUUGAUUCUACUUUCCUGCUCGUCAUCGGUAGUAGUGGAGCAUUGAAAUGAUCUCCUUCAAUUUUUGGUUCAUCUUUCAGUUCAUGCAAGGGAGUGUCACCUACGAUGGCCCUUUGUUUUCCCUCCCUAAUGUUAUUAUUAUUAGUUAUAGUUGAUUGAAAGACGGUUAGUCCUUUCUAGUCGUUUACUGAAACGGCAGCGCUGCUGGUAAUCUCGCUAUUGUUGAAGUGGGGAUGCGACGGUGGAAGUGCUGAAGCUGCAAUACAAGUGGCAAAGAGCGGCGACGUCUUCCGAAUUUGGUCCUGCAGUGGAGAUGAUUGUUGUCUGCGGCGAUUGAUGUUUGUGAAAGCCAAGGGAUUCUGGUUUUUUUGGUGUUUUUUUCCUUGCGACGAACCGUUGGUGUGUAUCGAUCGCUGGAAGUGAGCUAGAAGAGUUCCCACAAUGGUGCUCUGGGCAAUUUUGCUAGCACUGCCGUACAUACAUACAAGAGUGUUUUGUUUUUUGUAAGCUACAACAAAAUCGAGUGAAUUGAGGAAAUCGAUGCUGCAUAUACAAUUGCCAAUAUCAAGUCCAUAGAUCUAGGAGGCGUUGAGACUAUCCCAAUCGAUCGAAGGAUCUAGCGCGUACUAGUUACUGCCUCAAUAUAUGAUCUAGUCACUGGGAUCUAUUCAUGUUCAAUCAAUCUAGAAGUUGAAGAGCUACCACUAGUUGAGGAAUCAAAGUUGCGGUUUGAGAGUGGAGCGCAAGGAGCCCAGCAGAGAUUAGCGAUCAUUGGUGGAGGAGAAAAAUUCGAAGAUCACCACAGUCAUUGCUGUGAAGCAGGGAAGCUUGUCUGAAGCCGCAUCACCCUCCUCUCAGUAAGAACAAGGAGGUCAAUUUAGAGGGAUGGAAAAUUAGACUAGGAUGAAGUUAGGUUUAGGGCUGAAUUAGGUUAGUUUGGAUAAACAAUCAAGGUUGAAUGAAAAAUGCAAAAUUAACUAAAAAUUAUUUAGAUGAAUUCUCAUAUUUGGAUGAGAUAUUAUACUUGGAUGAAUUAUUAUUCAAAGAUGAUUUUUUU
This is a non-coding RNA of Physcomitrium patens, 1341 nucleotides long. The record is from RefSeq and is a predicted model, not a curated record. Lineage: Eukaryota; Viridiplantae; Streptophyta; Bryopsida; Funariales; Funariaceae.